Molecule: ribosomal RNA, 1435 nt
Filed under: metagenome
Description: bacterial SSU rRNA
Rfam family: Archaeal small subunit ribosomal RNA
Source: RNAcentral
UGUUGAUCCUGCAGGAGAAUACUGCUAUGGGAGUUCGACUAAGCCAUGCAAGUCAAGGGGACCUUCGGGUCACCGGCAGACUGCUCAGUAACACGUUGAUAAUCUGCCCUUUGGUCUGGGAUAACGUCGGAAAACUGACGCUAAACCCGGAUAAGUAAUAAGAUCUGGAAUGACUUAUUACAUAAAAGCAAUGCCAAAGGAUGAGUCAGCGGCUGAUUAGGUAGUUGGUGGGGUAAAGGCCCACUAAGCCUAUGAUCAGUAGGAGCCUUGAGAGAGGUAGCUCCGAGAGGAACACUGAGAUACUGGUUCCAGCCCUACGGGGUGCAGCAGGCGCGAAACCUUUACAAUGCACGAAAGUGUGAUAAGGGGACUCCUAGUGCUUAUGUAUACCAUAAGCUUUUGCCAUAUGUAAAUAGUAUGGCGAAUAAGUGGUGGGCAAGACUGGUGCCAGCCGCCGCGGUAACACCAGCGCCACAAGUAGUUUUCGUUUUUAUUGGGCUUAAAGCGUCCGUAGCGGGCUUUGUAAAUCUUUUGUGAAAUUGAUGGGCUCAACCUAUCAACGUGCAUGAGACACUGCAAGGCUAGAGAUCGGGAGGAGUUUGGGGUAUUCCGGGGGGAGCGGUAAAAUGUGAUAAUCCUCGGAGGACCACCUGUGGCGAAGGCGCCAAACUAGAACGAAUCUGACCGUGAGGGACGAAAGCCAGGGGAGCGAUCCGGAUUAGAUACCCGAGUAGUCCUGGCAGUAAACGCUGUGAGCUAGGCGUUGCAUUUUCUACGGGAAAAUGCAGUGUCGUAGAGAAAUCGUUAAGCUCACCGCCUGGGUAGUACGGUCGCAAGACUGAAACUUAAAGGAAUUGGCGGGGGAGCACUACAAGGGGUGGCGCGUGCGGUUUAAUUGAACUCAACACCGGAAAUCUUACCAGCAGCGACGGCAAGAUGAAGAUCAGGCUUAAGACCUUAUCUGAUGAGCCGAGAGGUAUUGCAUGGCCGCCGUCAGCUCGUGCCGCAAGGUGUCCUGUUAAGUCAGGCAACGAGCGAGACCUGUAUUCACAAUUGCCAGCAGCAAAUUUAUUUGGUCUGGGCACAUUGUGAGGACUGCCUUCGAAAGAAGGAGGAAGGUGCAGGCUACGGUAGGUCUGUAUGGUCCGAAUCCGCUGGGCUACACGCGCGCAACAAUGGUAUGGACAAUGGGCUGCAACUCCGAGAGGGGAAGCCAAUCCUCGAAACCAUAUCUUAGUCUUGAUCGAGCUUUGUAACUCAAGCUCGUGAUACUGGAAUCCCUAGUAACCGGAAGUCAUCAACUUCCGGUGAAUAUGUCCCUGCUCCUUGCACACACCGCCCGUCAAACCAUCCGAGCAGGAUUUAGGUGAGGUGCAGUUUUUACGGAUUGUAUCGAACCUAAGUUCAGUGAGGGGGGUUAAGUCGUCACAAGGUA